CCCUUAGAUGUUCUGGGCCGCACGCGCGCUACAAUGGCAAACUCAGCGAGUCUCCUUUACCGACAGGUAUAGGAAAUCUUUUCAGUGUUUGCCGUGAUGGGGCUAGACCCUUGUAAUUAUUGGUCUCCAACGAGGAAUUCCUAGUAAACGCAGGUCAUUAACCUGCAUUGAUUACGUCCCUGCCCUUUGUACACACCGCCCGUCGCACCUACCGAUUGAAUGGUCCGGUGAAGUCACCGGACUGAGUACUUUUAGUACUUGGGAAGUUGACUAAACCUUACUAUUUAGAGGAAGGUGAAGUCGUAACA
This 308-nucleotide ribosomal RNA is filed under the name uncultured eukaryote. Its description in RNAcentral is "partial 18S ribosomal RNA". It matches the Rfam family "Eukaryotic small subunit ribosomal RNA", at positions 1470 to 1796 of the family's 1831-position model. The record is from RNAcentral.